AAGAAUUAAAACCUAAGUUUCUCUUCUUCAAAUCACCCGAUUCCCCUCUUCCUUCAUUCCCCUCCGAUCUCUCUCACUCGCACGAAGCUACUUCCCUUCUCCUCCGAUUUGCCGAUCACUGCCACCGCCCUCUUCUCGAUGUCACCACUGACCACCAGAGCCCAACGUCUGUCGCCAGCCAUGGCAAGCCUUGAUCGCGAGGCGCUAGUGCCGAGAGGCCUUCGAGUGCCACCUCUCGGGGCAAAAAUCAUCGUCUCCUCCAUGCGAAGUCAACUUGGUGACAUCAUAGAUUUGUCGCUGCCAUCUCACCACCAGUUGUGUAGGAGCCGCCUUCGCCGAUCUACUUCUCUAUGUGAGCCGUGAGGUCCUUGCUGAUCGUCAAUCGCCGGUGCCAACGUUCCAAGCCGGUUGACUGUCACCAGUGAGGCUCUCCCUCCACCAUCGCUCCCUUCUUUUCUCCCGAUUGCCGAGAGCCCCUUUUUGUUCCCGAUUUCCAGCUGAUGAUGUCUUGGCUACAACUGACGCCGAUCCUUUCCUUAGAGUCGGUGCCCUAGUGCUAUCUCCACUCUGUCUUCUGGUUGGCUCGCCACCACAGCAGUGAACCUCUGGCAGAAACAAGUUGUUGGAUCAACCCUUGUAGCUCCAUCCUUGGUUCCGACAGUAGCUCCACCAGGUCACCCUUUCCAGUAGCAAGGUCCACUGACAGUGAAUCAACAAGGGAACAUCUAAGAUUCGGGAUGAUGAUUGGAAACAAGCAUCUCAACGUGGGAGUUGUAUUGACAUGAUCUACAUAUUAAAGGCGGGUAUUUCUUCCUUGGUCUCUUUAGUUCUUUGAACUUAGUGCAUGGUAGUUUUUGAUUGAUGGGUUAGGUUGCUUUACCUUAAAUCUUUCUGUAUUAUUAUCCUACUUGAUACUUAUACUUGACCUUUGAGAUGAUCUAUUUAUAUCACAUACAGUCUUGACUUUUGAAUAUCUAUACUCUAUUGUGUAUUCACAUGUAGAGUAUGUAUGGUAGGAUACGUCUUGUUGACUGAGUUAACAUACUGAUUAUGCAAAUGAUGUUAUGUGUACACAUGUUUGGUAUGUGUCAUAGGAGUUAUCAUGUUGACCGUGCAUUUAUAUAUUGUAUGUGUACACAUGUCCGGUGUUAUCUAUUGGAGGUUUCAUGUUGAUUGUAUCUAUGUUGUGUGCACAUGUAUCAGAUGUGUACUAUUGGAAGAUCAUGUUGAUAAUACCUAUGUUAGUGAUUGUAUGUGUUUGGUGUGAUAUUGGAGGUAUCAUGAUUAUACCUAUGUGGUUGUGUGCAUAUGUAUCUAGAAUGACUAUUGGAGGUUUCUUGUUGAUUAUACCUACGUUGUAGGGUGCAUACGUGUGUAGUGUGUACAUGUCUGGUGUGGUUACUUAUUGUACUUGUUAUUUAGAGGAUACCUAUUGGAUCUACCCAUACCUAUCGAUAAAAGUGAUUGAUGGAUCAUGUAUUAGAGAUACUUAUGUAGAUUGGGGAUGUUGCAUUGAUGAUGAUUGUGUUAGUAUCAUGAUUAUUUACAUCAUGUUCAUCAUUGCAUUGCAUGCUGAUGACCAUUGUCUUCCUUGUGGUGUGAGAGAGUCGUUAGUCAUUUUAGCACCGCACACUCGACCACUCAUGGGUAGUGGUAGCUGGAGCAGUUGCCGCUUGCCCUGUCAUGCUCACUUAGCCGCUUAGUGUUAUACUCUGUCAGCCUCGGCCACUCAUGAGUAGUGAUAUCUGGAGGGUACAGUAGUCAGGGGGCUAAAGAUGUGAGUAGUCAGGGACCCUGAUGUUAUGUAGCUAGAUAGCUACUUAGCGAACUGUUCGCCUCAGCUGCUAUAUAGUAGCAUCUGGAGGGUAGUACAAUUGUCAUAGAUCCAAGUCUCUCGACCAUACAAGGGUCGUGGUGUCUGAAGAGGUGGCGGGGUUGACCAUGGAGCAUGCAUGCGCAUUUGCAUAUGAUGCGCGGUGCAUCUAUGGAGAUAUAUUUGCAUACAUGUCUAGUAGAUACUAGCUACAUGUAAUUGUGAUAUGUUGCACUUAUUUGAUCUAUGAUUGUUUCAUAUGGUUGCUAUGCUGCAUAUAUGUCAUUUAUUAUACAUGUAUAUACUGUCGGUUAUAUUGCUCAUGUGUCACAAACAGAUCUAUUGCUGAUCCCUGGUGAGUUUACUGAUUAUUAUAUCGUAUGUGUCGAUUCCAAAUUGAGUAUGUGUAUUUAUUAUGUCAUUUACGAUCUUGACCUUAUAUGUUAGUACUAGAUUGGGCAGGUUCAUUUACUAUGACAUUAUGAUCAUGAUAUUAUGUGUUGGAUUCAGAUUGGGUAUGUACAUUUAUUAUGUCAGUUUAUGAUCAUGUUCUUAUUUCCCUAAUGAGACUGUAUACUUUGAUCUCCAUAUUUUAUUUUGACCAUGCACUAUCUUAUCUAUUACCCGUUGAGUGACCUACACUCACCACCACAAUUCUAUGUCGUCUUUUU
This is a long non-coding RNA of Zingiber officinale, 2484 nucleotides long. RefSeq lists it as uncharacterized. The record is from RefSeq and is a predicted model, not a curated record. The transcript is spliced from 3 exons. Lineage: Eukaryota; Viridiplantae; Streptophyta; Magnoliopsida; Zingiberales; Zingiberaceae.